AUUGAACGCUGGCGGAAUGCUUUACACAUGCAAGUCGAACGGCAGCACGGGUGCUUGCACCUGGUGGCGAGUGGCGAACGGGUGAGUAAUGCACCGGAACGUAUCCAAUAAUGGGGGAUAACGCACCGAAAGGUGUGCUAAUACCGCAUACGCCCUGAGGGGGAAAGCGGGGGAUCGUAAGACCUCGCGUUAAUGGAGCGGCCGAUGCCGGAUUAGCUAGUUGGUGAGGUAAAGGCUCACCAAGGCGACGAUCCGUAGCUGGUCUGAGAGGACGACCAGCCACACUGGAACUGAGACACGGUCCAGACUCCUACGGGAGGCAGCAGUGGGGAAUUUUGGACAAUGGGCGCAAGCCUGAUCCAGCCAUUCCGCGUGAGUGAAGAAGGCCUCGGUUGUAAG
Molecule: ribosomal RNA, 399 nt
Filed under: uncultured bacterium
Lineage: Bacteria
Description: bacterial SSU rRNA
Rfam family: Bacterial small subunit ribosomal RNA
Source: RNAcentral